ACAACAACAACAACAGAAGUUACAAGUCUGCCUGAAAUAUCAACAUUUCUUUCUUCAUCAGCCACAGUACUUCCUACUACAACUACAACCACAACUACAAGUA
Molecule: long non-coding RNA, 103 nt
Organism: Protopterus annectens (West African lungfish)
Lineage: Eukaryota; Metazoa; Chordata; Ceratodontiformes; Protopteridae
Exons: 3
Source: RefSeq, a predicted model, not a curated record